RNAcentral lists this long non-coding RNA (1963 nucleotides) under Homo sapiens (human). Its description in RNAcentral is "HIF1A stabilizing long noncoding RNA". Lineage: Eukaryota; Metazoa; Chordata; Mammalia; Primates; Hominidae. The record is from RNAcentral.
GGCAGUAUGCUUGGUAAAAGUCAUCGCCAUUCUCUAAUCUUGAGUACCCAGGGACACGAUACACUGCGGAAGGCUGCAGGGACCUCUGCCCAGGAAAGCCAGGCUUGCAUGAAGGAAAUGAUUUCCUAUGAUUCUGCUUACUGCUUAAAAAAAUUAAUCAAGUUUUCUGCCUGACAAGAGCCAGAAAAACUUCAUCUCUUUUACAAGAAACAUUGAGAUUCCUGUAAAAUUAAGAAAUCACACAAUUUGAUGGUCUACAUUAUCUAAAGCAAAUGAGACUUCUAUUUGGAACAAAGACUACCUUGUUGGGAAAUGAGUCUGCAAGUUAAAGUGUUUUCUGUUUUCUAAGGAUAAUGGUCUCCAGCUUCGUCAAUGUUCCUGCAAAGGACAUGAUGCUGACUUUGAAGAUGCAAGCUUCCACAUCUACAGCCUCAAGGAAACAAAUUCAGCCAACCAACUGAGGGAGCUUUCCUUGUCCUGCCUCAAGAUGAGAUCACAGUCUGCCCAACACCAUGAUUUAGGCCUUGUGACACCUGAGCUCAGAUGGAAAAGAAUGGUGUUACUGAGACCCUUCAAGAUUCCCAGUGUAAUUCAAUAAAGAAAAGGCAACACAAAGGGGUUGUAUAGAAUUCGCCACAUUAUGGACCCAUGUCAUAGAGAGAAUCCACGGUGCAUUUGUUAGCUGCAUUUAAAUGACAACACUUUCAGAUCCAAGAUUUAUUUGGGAUAAAAAUUUACCUGGAUGCAAGGCUAUUCAGAAUGAAGAUUAAUGAUAUGGUUUGGCUGUGUCCCCACCCAAACUUCAUCUUGAAUUCCCACGUGUUGUGAGAGGGACCUGAUGAUGCAUAUCAUAAAUUAUUACUCACCCCAUGUUCCCACCCUCGAGAGACCUCCAAACAAUCACCAUGCCACAGUGAACAUUCAGUAACAAAAAUUCAGCCAGGGUUUUCACCAGCAUGAAUGGCAGUGAUUCCAAUCAGGAAAACAGAAAGAGGAGAGUUCAGAGCCACCUAGAAUGGCUCUUGCAAGAUACGAAAUCAAGGCAGCAGCAACAGGGCUGAACAUUCCUCAUCCCUAACUCUCCCUUCACCAGUAGGAAACCCAGGAUAACUGCAAUCACCGCAGGCCCAUCUGGCCUGAAGUUCUACUACUAGUAGCCCUCCAUGGGACCUUCUUAAGGAAGCAUGUCAACUCAGGUAAGGGAUGUAAGGGGAUGGAUGACCCUUUGAGGCCAAAGUUGGAGCAAAAAACACCAGAUGUUCCUGUGCACUGCUCCUAAGAGAUGGUUCUGAAGACCAGUUCGGGGAGAGGUCAAAAUACUGGACAGAAUCUCAGCAACAUGGAACCUCAAACUAAGUGACAGUCACAGACAACUCUUCCCCAAAGAAAAUAAGCACAGACAUGGUUUGUGGUAAGCAGAAUUAUAAAGAUGAAUUCCCAUCUCCCUGUCAGAUUACCAGUAUGGUAAAUUACCAGAUUACCUGGUUAUUUAUUCAAACACUAAUACAGUUAUUGCCUUGAUGGAAACAUACAGAUACAAUUAAAAUCCCAAGUACCAAAUAAAUUGACCUUAAGACAAAGACUAAGUAAAUCACAUGAGCCCUCUACAAGCAGAGAGUUUUUCUCCAGCUGGUAGCAGAAGCCAGAGAUUUGAAGCAUAGGAAGUAUUCAACACAUUAUUGCUGGCCUGAAAAUGGAAGGGGCCACAUAACGAGGGAAACCGGUGGCCUCUAGAAGCAGGGAGCAGUCCCCUGCUGACAGACAGCAAGCCAAGACCUCAGUUCUACAAUUGCAAGACACUCAAUUCUGCUAAGGACAAAAAUGAGCUUGGAAGUGAACUCUGAGCUUCAGGUGAGAACACGGCCAAACAACACCUUGAUUUCAGCUUAAACAAAGAAUGCAGCCACUCCAUGCCAGAAUUCUGACCUGUAGAAAUUUGAGCUAAUAAAUAGAUGUUUUAAUA